Molecule: small nucleolar RNA, 104 nt
Organism: Cavia porcellus (domestic guinea pig)
Lineage: Eukaryota; Metazoa; Chordata; Mammalia; Rodentia; Caviidae
Rfam family: Small nucleolar RNA SNORA8
About the family: ACA8 is a member of the H/ACA class of snoRNA that guide the sites of modification of uridines to pseudouridines.
Source: Rfam
UGCUGAGGCCAUUCAAAAGACAGGGCGACAGGAAUUCAGUGUGUGGUAUCGUUGGUUUUUUUGGCUUUGUGCAUGUUAAACCUGGUAUUUCUACUGAUGCAUUA